Molecule: ribosomal RNA, 253 nt
Filed under: uncultured prokaryote
Description: partial 16S ribosomal RNA
Rfam family: Bacterial small subunit ribosomal RNA
Source: RNAcentral
UACGGGGGGGGCAAGCGUUGUUCGGAUUUACUGGGCGUAAAGGGCGCGUAGGCGGCGUGGUAAGUCGCUUGUGAAAUCUUUGGGCUUAACCCAGAGGCUGCAAGUGAUACUGCCGUGCUAGAGUGCGGAAGGGGCUAUUGGAAUUCUCGGUGUAGCGGUGAAAUGCGUAGAUAUCGAGAGGAAUAUCGGUGGCGAAGGCGGAUAGCUGGGCCGACACUGACGCUGAAGCGCGAAAGCUAGGGGAGCAAACAGG